GAUGAACGCUGGCGGCGUACCUAAUACAUGCAAGUCGAGCGAACAGACGAGGAGCUUGCUCCUCUGACGUUAGCGGCGGACGGGUGAGUCACACGUGGCUAACCUCCCUAUAAGACUGGGAUACCUUCGGGAAACCGGAGCUAAUACCGGAUAAUAUCUUGAACCGCAUGGUUCAAUAGUGAAACACGGUUUUGCUGUCACUUAUAGAUGGAUCCGCGCCGCAUUAGCUAGUUGGUAAGGUAACAGCUUACCAAGGCAACGAUGCGUAGCCGACCUGAGAGGGGGGUCGGCCACACGAGAACUGAGACACGGUCCAGACUCCUGCGAGAGGCAGCAGUAGGGAAUCUGCCGCAGUGGGGGAGAGCCUGACGGAGCAACGCCGCGUGAGUGAUGAAGGUCUUCGGAUCGUAAAACUCUGUUAUGAGGGAAGAACAAAUGUGUAAGUAACUAUGCACGUCUUGACGGUACCUGAUCAGAAAGCCACGGCUAACUACGUG
RNAcentral lists this ribosomal RNA (497 nucleotides) under uncultured bacterium. RNAcentral's name for it is "partial 16S ribosomal RNA". It matches the Rfam family "Bacterial small subunit ribosomal RNA", at positions 28 to 507 of the family's 1533-position model. The record is from RNAcentral.